AUGGAAAACAGCAGACCGUCUAAUUCUAUUCAUUACAUGGAGAACCUAAUCGUGAGGAAACAGCUGUCCAGGUACGUCCCUGUCCGUUCGUCACAGACAGUCUGGGUCCAGUGGCCGUCUGUGACAACACGGCACACCUCAGCUCUCAUCGCUGGAGAAGACGGUGCAGCAGCGGAGAUCACCGGCUCCACGUUGACCUCGAUAAUGGUCGGACAGCUGGGAGACUUUUCCAUGAUCUGUCUCUGGAGCAGCGCUUCACUUGGCAGCUCCGCGUGUGUUCUCUGUUGGGACAGCUGCAUCACAGACUGAGUUCUGAGCUCUGCAGAAGGACGGCUUGGAGAUAACCUGAUGACGUCACAGCCAGAUUCAGGUCUGCUAUCUCUCCCUGACAGCAGAGUCGUGCGUCACUCCUUCCAAGCAGAGCCAGAGAGAGGGAGGGAGGGAGGACUGGCAGAGGAGGUAGGGAGGGAAGGUGAAGAGAGAGGAGUCACAGCGUCUGGAGGAUGCCUCGGAUCAUUUAGAAGAGGUGGGAAAAGUGGGACCUGGGCCAGGACGGCACUAAAGUGGAAUAGUUUUUAAUAAGAAUAGGAAGGGACAGAGGGAGGAGAGUGAAUGGAGCAGAUUAUGAAAAUGACUCCUCAGUAAGUGGUAAUCAGUGGGAGAGAGGGAGCAGGGGGAAAAAGACAGCAGGGUAAACAUCUAUAUGAAGAAAAGAAAUGCAUAAUGAAGGAUGGAAGGGAGAGAACACAAAGGGGGUUAUUAGUCAUGAAAGAGAUAUAAGCCUAGUGAGAUGGGUUCAGGAAGAGGCAAGUCAACAGUUCAUCGUACCAUAGUGAACAUUUUUACGAGAAGAAAAAAACCCCAAUAUGAUUUAAAGAAUGUGGAGCAAGAUCCGGCAUUGUACUCAAGAGCUCCAGCUUGUACUCCGCUAAUUAUAGGUAUUGCAGUGUGAUAAUAACAUUCAGGGCUCGUUUGAAGAUGAAUCUCUCCCUAUGGAUUUCUUCCAUCCGAACUCCAGCACCGACAUGACCACGAAUCUUUUUUUCUUUGGUACUGGGGAAAAAAUUAUGAAAAUGAUGUGAAAUAACAAGUGAAGGGAAGAAAAAAAAAUGCUCAUGGCGCCCCUUGUGUCUUUGCAUAUUUGUGUGAAUACACAUAAUUUCACUGACACCAUUUCAGACACUUCUGAGAACAUAUAUGGUUGAUAUUUGGUGUUUGGCCUUGUCACUCUUUUAGUCCACAAGCAUCCACCGAGCUCACUACAGAGAUGAAAUAUAAGCAUCUCUAUAUACUGCUGCGAAACACAAGUCCACUUUAACUAAAUACUUCAAUACUAGACAUUUCAAUAAAGUUUUGCAUUUGCAACACUGACAGAAAAACAAAAAAGGUAGUAUUUAUGACAAAACUGCUGUAAUGAAUUGCAAUAGAUUGCACGUAGAUUGAACCCGUAGACUUUGUCUGAGUCCUCCAAUCUUAAUUUACAUCUGCAUAACAAUGUUUCACUGUCAAUGAAUGAGAUUACCGUGAUGCAGUCAGUGUUUUGGUGUUGCCCUCGCUCUCAAAAACAGAAACAUGUGGGGAAAACGUGGAGGGGGCUGAGCCGUAACCUUCGGGUGUGCACAUGUACGGCAAAGCCCCAUUACACUUCCAAGCGUGAGUGUAUAAUAGGAGCCCAACUCUUUAAAAAAAACAAAAACCAUGAUGAUCUGUGAGAAGUCGUUACGAGUCCGCACUUAUGAAAUGCAUGAUCCCAAGCUGACGAUGUCAAACAAGGCAAAACAAAAAAAGCUCUACUUUCCUGACAUGUCAUCUGACGUGUCUUUUGAUGACCGUCAGCAGGAAAGCUUGUUUAACAAGUAGCACAUGAAGAGAGGCAGCGGAGGAAAGAGGUGGGCAGAAAAGUGAUACCUUCCCGUGUGACCGGCCUUAUUGCAAACGGUGCGUUGGAUAUAUGUCGCAGUACAGUAAGUCACGUGGGUGCAGCAGUGUUUACAAUGUCAAAGUCAGUAACUUACUGCCUGUUAGACUUUGCUUCAUUUAUGCACAUCCAUCCUAUACACACUUCAACAAAUGCUAUGUGGCGGAGUCGGGAGUUCAUUCAGUCAACAUCACAGGAAUCUGUGUGCCGAUGAGGAAGCCCCCACCCUCAGUUCCUUCUCCAUAUCAAUGAGCUCGCAGUGGGUUGUGCGUCAUCAAAACAUAACACACUGUUUACAGUCAACUGCACUGUCUGACGGUGAACACGAAACCUCUAUCUGGAGAGAGAGAGAGGAAAAACCACAGUCACACAGUCUGAAGGAGCUGUACUUGGGUUCAUCGGGGCAAUUGAAUAUGCCCAAAUAGAGCAAUCGGACGAACACGUCCCUUCAAUUUUGGCCAGAUCUAAUCAGCAGUCUCUGACAUGUUAUGUGUGAUGUCAACGAUUAAAAAAACAUUGUUAUUCCCGUUGGAGCCAUCAGUAAUACCAAAGUCUAUGACGCAUCAUUGACUUUAGGGCUCGUGUGCUGGAGCCGGGCCACAGAUUAUCUUUUAGGACAACUGACGGCGUAAUUACCGCGGCCCUCGUGGAUGAUGAUUCUUUAAGGCCAAAAGCAUCAACGCUGCUCUGAAUUAUGGACUACAUAGAAUAUCUGAACACGUACAGAAGCACAGAUGUCAUAAAAGAAAAUGAGCUGCACAUCAAGAGAUGCUAGAAAGCAACAACAGAAACCAAAGAGAGUGAUGGCAAGCAAGAGCAUGUCUAUAGUUUAGUAACUGUAAUAAAUAAAAUAAAGCCAGUUUUCAUAAAAAAUAUUUGAAAGGCCUGAAAUCUUAUUUCCAGAUUAUUCAUGCAAGUAGAAAUCAUACUGUACAUUCUUACCAAUGGGUAAGAAAGAGCUCCCAACAGCAAAGUGCGUAUUUCUAUAUCCUUUCAGAAACUUUAGCUCAAAGGAUGUCAAAACUCAUUUGGAGUAUUAGGAUUUAACAACUACCUCACAUGCUUUUAUUCACCUGCAGGAAACGUCGUCUUCAAUGUGACAUGAUGCGAUAGAUUUUUGAAUUUUGUUGUUGAGUUUACUUAGGUUUACACGUUUAGAUAACAGCUCUGCCAACGUGGAACUUCUUGUUUUCCCUAAUUGAGAUAUUCCUGCGUGGCAAAGAAAAGGAAUUAUUUUUCUUCGUUCAACAAACAUAUAUUCUUGUUGAAUAAACUUAAAAUUCUUGCUUCAGUGAGAAAAAAACUUUGCCUUUGUAAAACCAGGAAAAUGUAUGUUGCUGCAACUGUACAUGGGUUAAGAUGAGUUCUGCCAGAUAAUCUUGUUUACAUGACACUCUUUGUGAGGAAGAAAAUUCUUGGUUCAAAACAAAGGUUUCUACAACAUAUUCUUGUUAAAUUAGCCACUAUGAAGCAAUACAAAUGUAUUUUAGUGUAAAUUAUAUUGAAGGAAUGCUCGUCACACAAAAAUGUAUAUAAAAUACCACUCAGCUCAAAGUUUACUGAAACCGUAUUUAUUCAUUUACUUUUGGUUUUACCAACAAUAUGGCUGCAGCUAACAAUUAGUUUCACUAUCAAUGUAUUGUGGAAAUAUUCAUCAAAGUGUGAGCGUCACUUUCCAGACAGAGAGAGAGUGAGCGAGGAAGUCUGUGUGACCCUCCGCUCUCUCUCUUCCAUGUGAAUGAAAACAACGGUGUUAAUGGGAGACGUUCAG
Molecule: long non-coding RNA, 3689 nt
Organism: Scophthalmus maximus (turbot)
Lineage: Eukaryota; Metazoa; Chordata; Actinopteri; Pleuronectiformes; Scophthalmidae
Source: Ensembl